GCCCUACAACUUAAGUGGAAAUGGGCUGGCCAUUUGUCCCGAUACUUGGACGGAAGAGUAACAAAAUGGCCAGGACCAAGGGGAAAAAGAGGCCGAGGAAAACCACAAAAACGAUGGGCAGACGACAUCAUACAGAUAGCUGGAAAGAACUGGAUGGAAACAGCAAAAAAUAGAGAGAAAUGGAAGGGUACUGAGGAGGCUUUUACCCAGCAGGGAUCAGUGCAAUGAAAAGUGCAA
This is a long non-coding RNA of Cydia amplana, 237 nucleotides long. RefSeq lists it as uncharacterized. The record is from RefSeq and is a predicted model, not a curated record. Lineage: Eukaryota; Metazoa; Arthropoda; Insecta; Lepidoptera; Tortricidae. The transcript has 2 exons.